This is a non-coding RNA of Caenorhabditis elegans, 21 nucleotides long. NCBI's taxonomy places the organism in Eukaryota, Metazoa, Nematoda, Chromadorea, Rhabditida, Rhabditidae. The record is from Ensembl.
UAUUUUGAAGAUACAAGUUCA